Molecule: ribosomal RNA, 468 nt
Filed under: uncultured bacterium
Lineage: Bacteria
Description: partial 16S ribosomal RNA
Rfam family: Bacterial small subunit ribosomal RNA
Source: RNAcentral
GACGAACGCUGGCGGUGUGCUUAACACAUGCAAGUCGAACGGAAAGGCCCUGCUUUUGUGGGGUGCUCGAGUGGCGAACGGGUGAGUAACACGUGAGUAACCUGCCCUUGACUUUGGGAUAACUUCAGGAAACUGGGGCUAAUACCGGAUAGGAGCUCCUGCUGCAUGGUGGGGGUUGGAAAGUUUCGGCGGUUGGGGAUGGACUCGCGGCUUAUCAGCUUGUUGGUGGGGUAGUGGCUUACCAAGGCUUUGACGGGUAGCCGGCCUGAGAGGGUGACCGGCCACAUUGGGACUGAGGUACGGCCCAGACUCCUACGGGAGGCAGCAGUGGGGAAUAUUGCACAAUGGGCGGAAGCCUGAUGCAGCAACGCCGCGUGCGGGAUGACGGCCUUCGGGUUGUAAACCGCUUUCGCCUGUGACGAAGCGUGAGUGACGGUAAUGGGUAAAGAAGCACCGGCUAACUACGUG